Molecule: small nuclear RNA, 161 nt
Organism: Oryctolagus cuniculus (rabbit)
Lineage: Eukaryota; Metazoa; Chordata; Mammalia; Lagomorpha; Leporidae
Gene: U1
Rfam family: U1 spliceosomal RNA
About the family: U1 is a small nuclear RNA (snRNA) component of the spliceosome (involved in pre-mRNA splicing).
Source: Ensembl
ACGCUUACCUUGCAGGGGCGACACCGCCACCACGAAGGUGCUCCCCAGGGCCAGGCUCGUCCGCUGCACUCUGGCUGUGCCGACCCUGCGAUUUCCCCAAACGUGGGAAACUCGGCUGCAGAAUGUGUGGUCGUGGGGGACUGCGUCCACGCUUUCCCCUA